This is a non-coding RNA of Patellaria atrata CBS 101060, 89 nucleotides long. The record is from the annotation of a GenBank genome assembly. NCBI's taxonomy places the organism in Eukaryota, Fungi, Ascomycota, Dothideomycetes, Patellariales, Patellariaceae.
GGUUGUGUGGUGUAGCGGUAGCACCCUGGAUUCUGAUGUUAAAAAGUCUGGAUUUUCCAGUAACCUGAGUUCGAUCCUCAGCACGACCU